GUGGACAUCAAAAGGUUCAUAUUGAACCAAAAAAAGAGAGAAGAAGCAAUAUGGCUUCCUCUGUCAUUUCUUCAGCAGCUGUUGCCACACGCAGCAAUGUUACACAAGCUAGCAUGGUUGCACCUUUCACUGGUCUCAAAUCUUCAGCCACUUUCCCUGUUACAAAGAAGCAAAACCUUGACAUCACUUCCAUUGCUAGCAAUGGUGGAAGAGUUAGCUGCAUGCAGGUAACUCACUCAUCGGUUUUCCGAAAUUGAUAUUUUCUUAGUAUGUUGUAACAUGUAAUCUGUCUUAUUUCUCGAUUCAAUUAUCUAAGGGUUAUAUGUAUGUUAGCUACUCUCUCUGGCUUAAUUUAUGUGACGGUAGUACUAUUUUAUUUUAGUUAGUAUAAAAAAGAGUGAUUUACUUUGUUUCAGUUUGUUUGUUUAAUCUUAAUUUAACAUAACUUUUAAGAAAAUUAAAAAGUCUUUUGAAUUUGUAGUUUUAAAUUAAAGUUACGUAGAAUGUAUUAAAAUAUCCUACAUUUUGUGAUUUCAAACAUGUUAACUGUCACGUGAAAAAUUAGAAUUAGAUAAUUAUCAAAAAAAAAAAAAGAGACUUUAGAAGAGUAAUAUAAACAAAUUGAAACAUGAGUAUAUGUAGUUACUGACCUCUGAUCUAGUUUAUGCCAUUAUUAUUUUUCUUUUUAAGUCUGUUUUAAAAGAAUGACAUAUUUUUAUAUUUAAUAGCAGUAUUGAUUUAAGUUUGAAAAAAAUUUCUAUUUUAUCUUUAAUGAGAUGAUUUAUAAUUACAUAAGUAUUUAUAUUAUCUUAGACCAUAAACUACGAAAAUCUCUGUUUAUUCUUAAAAUUCCAUUUACCAUUAAGUACCUCCACAUAAGAAUUAAAAAAAGAGAGUAUCUUUCAAAUUAUCUGAUAAUUCAUAGAAGUUAAAAGAUCCAAUUGCUUAACUUAUCUUUGAUUAUAUUAAACACAUGAAAAGUGUAUCCUACGUAUAAUCUCUACGUUCAAAAUUAAAGACAAAUUUAAGAUCUAGAAUUGAUGAACUCAAAAUAUCUCUAUCUUAUUAUUAUUAUGUAUAUAUACAACUUAAUUUUUCGAAAUGUUGAUGAAUGUAUGUUAAAUCCUUUACAAUAGUGCAUUUUUAGAUAAUUCGAUAAGAGUGUAACAAUAUUUUCAGAAAGUCGAU
Molecule: long non-coding RNA, 1188 nt
Filed under: Solanum lycopersicum (tomato)
Lineage: Eukaryota; Viridiplantae; Streptophyta; Magnoliopsida; Solanales; Solanaceae
Description: long non-coding RNA (SLYC_LNC001277)
Source: RNAcentral